This 397-nucleotide ribosomal RNA is filed under the name uncultured bacterium. RNAcentral describes it as "partial 16S ribosomal RNA". It matches the Rfam family "Bacterial small subunit ribosomal RNA", at positions 523 to 918 of the family's 1533-position model. The record is from RNAcentral.
AUACGUAGGUGGCAAGCGUUGUCCGGAAUUAUUGGGCGUAAAGCGCGCGCAGGCGGUCCUUUAAGUCUGAUGUGAAAGCCCACGGCUCAACCGUGGAGGGUCAUUGGAAACUGGGGGACUUGAGUGCAGAAGAGGAAAGUGGAAUUCCAAGUGUAGCGGUGAAAUGCGUAGAGAUUUGGAGGAACACCAGUGGCGAAGGCGGCUUUCUGGUCUGUAACUGACGCUGAGGCGCGAAAGCGUGGGGAGAAAACAGGAUUAGAUACCCUGGUAGUCCACGCCGUAAACGAUGAGUGCUAAGUGUUAGGGGGUUUCCGCCCCUUAGUGCUGCAGCUAACGCAUUAAGCACUCCGCCUGGGGAGUACGGUCGCAAGACUGAAACUCAAAUGAAUUGGCGGGG